RNAcentral lists this ribosomal RNA (253 nucleotides) under uncultured bacterium. Its description in RNAcentral is "partial 16S ribosomal RNA". It matches the Rfam family "Bacterial small subunit ribosomal RNA", at positions 524 to 776 of the family's 1533-position model. The record is from RNAcentral.
UACGAAGGGAGCUAGCGUUGUUCGGAAUCACUGGGCGUAAAGCGCACGUAGGCGGACGUGUCAGUCAGGGGUGAAAUCCCGGAGCUCAACUUCGGAACUGCCUUUGAUACAGCACGUCUUGAGUCCGGAAGAGGUGAGUGGAAUUCCGAGUGUAGAGGUGAAAUUCGUAGAUAUUCGGAGGAACACCAGUGGCGAAGGCGGCUCACUGGCUCGGUACUGACGCUGAGGUGCGAAAGCGUGGGGAGCAAACAGG